Molecule: transfer RNA, 87 nt
Filed under: Enterobacteriaceae endosymbiont of Donacia thalassina
Lineage: Bacteria; Pseudomonadati; Pseudomonadota; Gammaproteobacteria; Enterobacterales; Enterobacteriaceae
Description: tRNA-Leu
Rfam family: tRNA
About the family: Transfer RNA (tRNA) molecules are approximately 80 nucleotides in length.
Source: RNAcentral
GCCCAGAUGGUGGAAUUGGUAGACACAAGGGACUUAAAAUCCCUCAGCAUGUAUAUUGCUAUGCGGGUUCAACUCCCGCUCUGGGUA